RNAcentral lists this long non-coding RNA (469 nucleotides) under Medicago truncatula (barrel medic). RNAcentral describes it as "long non-coding RNA (MTRU_LNC002614)". The record is from RNAcentral. Lineage: Eukaryota; Viridiplantae; Streptophyta; Magnoliopsida; Fabales; Fabaceae.
UGCUUCUUUAGAUGGCCAAUACUCAACUAGUUAUUGAUAUAUGUGGUUAGAUCGAAAUCUAACUCAACAAGUAGAGUCAUUAAGAUGGAAUAAACGAAGAGAAGAUGGCGGUAGGGAUCAGACCAAGAGAGAAGCUGGAGGUAGAUGGAAUAGUGAUUAGAGAGUGGAGACAAUAGAAUGACACUGAGAUAGAAUCAUUGAGAGUGUAAGACUCCAUUGACAACAAGAGUGAGAUGACAACAUCAAUAAAGCCAAGAAGGUCGAGGGUUGUCUCUCAUCGAGUGUGAGAGAAAAAGCCAACGAGUCAAUAUUUUUUUUAAGAAUUUCUGAAUUAUCUUAAAAAGUCAUUGAGUCGGUCUUCUUUUAAUUUAUACAACAUAAUGGUUCGUUAAUGUCUUGAAAAAUUAAAACACAUGCUCAUCAACAUAUGAAUUUAUAUGACACCUUCAUUAGAGAUACUCUUGGUUGC